CAAGGAAUAGUUUAAAAAGAACUUCAGCUUUGGGUGCUGGCAGUGGAGUUAUUUCUUCUUCCUUGA
This 66-nucleotide transfer RNA is filed under the name Galidia elegans (ring-tailed mongoose). RNAcentral describes it as "tRNA-Pro". Lineage: Eukaryota; Metazoa; Chordata; Mammalia; Carnivora; Eupleridae. The record is from RNAcentral.